Mycena maculata is the source of this 92-nucleotide non-coding RNA. Lineage: Eukaryota; Fungi; Basidiomycota; Agaricomycetes; Agaricales; Mycenaceae. The record is from the annotation of a GenBank genome assembly.
GGCUUGGUAGUGUAACGGUAUCGUGCCGCUAAUCUGUACGUGGAUCAGAUUUCUCAUGGCGGAGGUUCCCCGUUCGAGUCGGGGCCAGGCUA